Molecule: ribosomal RNA, 253 nt
Filed under: uncultured bacterium
Lineage: Bacteria
Description: partial 16S ribosomal RNA
Rfam family: Bacterial small subunit ribosomal RNA
Source: RNAcentral
UACAGAGGUCCCAAGCGUUGUUCGGAUUUACUGGGCGUAAAGGGUGCGUAGGUGGUAGGGUAAGUUCUAGGUGAAAGCUUCGGGCUCAACCCGAAAAUUGCCUCGAAUACUAUUCUGCUAGAGGGUCGGAAGGGAGACUGGAAUUCUCGGUGUAGCAGUGAAAUGCGUAGAUAUCGAGAGGAACACCUGUGGCGAAGGCGAGUCUCUGGACGAUUCCUGACACUGAGGCACGAAAGCUAGGGGAGCAAACGGG